AUUGAACGCUGGCGGCAGGCUUAACACAUGCAAGUCGAGCGGAGAUGAGGUGCUUGCACCUUAUCUUAGCGGCGGACGGGUGAGUAAUGCUUAGGAAUCUGCCUAUUAGUGGGGGACAACAUUCCGAAAGGAAUGCUAAUACCGCAUACGUCCUACGGGAGAAAGCAGGGGAUCUUCGGACCUUGCGCUAAUAGAUGAGCCUAAGUCGUAUUAGCUAGUUGGUGGGGUAAAGGCCUACCAAGGCGACGAUCUGUAGCGGGUCUGAGAGGAUGAUCCGCACGCUGGGACUGAGAAACGGCCCAGACUCCUACGGGAGGCAGAAGUGGGGAAUAUUGGACAAUGGGGGAAACCCUGAUCCAGCCAUUCCGCGUGUGUGAAGAAGGCCUUAUGGUUGUAAAGCACUUUAAGCGAGGAGGAGGCUACUGAGACUAAUACUCUUGGAUAGUGGACGUUACUCGCAGAAUAAGCACCGGCUAACUCUGUGCCAGCAGCCGCAGUAA
Molecule: ribosomal RNA, 500 nt
Filed under: uncultured bacterium
Lineage: Bacteria
Description: partial 16S ribosomal RNA
Rfam family: Bacterial small subunit ribosomal RNA
Source: RNAcentral